RNAcentral lists this ribosomal RNA (253 nucleotides) under uncultured bacterium. RNAcentral describes it as "partial 16S ribosomal RNA". It matches the Rfam family "Bacterial small subunit ribosomal RNA", at positions 524 to 776 of the family's 1533-position model. The record is from RNAcentral.
UACGUAGGGUGCGAGCGUUAAUCGGAAUUACUGGGCGUAAAGCGUGCGCAGGCGGUUCGUUGUGUCGGCGGUGAAAGCCCCGGGCUUAACCUGGGAAUGGCCGUUGAAACUGGCGAACUGGAGUGUGGCAGAGGGGGGUGGAAUUCCCGGUGUAGUGGUGAAAUGCGUAGAGAUCGGGAGGAACACCAGUGGCGAAGGCGGCCGGCUGGGGGUGACCUGACGCUGAGGCGCGAAAGCGUGGGGAGCGAACCGG